CCGUGUGUUAUGUAAUAUUACACUCACAAAUCAAUAAUGGAGAAAGUUGAGAUGGCAUUAAAAGGGGGCUGUGAAAGCCAACACAACACAAGAAUGAGAUUAGUGCCCAGUAAAUUUGUAGAUGGAUAUAUGGUUCAAUUGUCACCUGACAUGUUUCAGGGAGCAGACGAGGACAAUGUUGAACAUCAAUCUGAAGUCGAUCCACCUUCUCACAGCUGCAAGAAAGGCCAACAAGAAAGUGAUUCAUCGUCAUCCCAGAACCAAGAUGUUAAUCAUCAGUCACUGACCAAACGAAAUGACGAAUUAGAGAUUGAAAAUGGUUUAUUGUACACACAAUCCAAGAAUUGAACAAAGAGAUUAAUGAUUCAAAACAAGAAUUGAGGCAAACCAAUGCUACUAGUAAAAGUAGCCAGGGGAAAAGAAAAAGGACGAGUAACGAGCUGCAAGUCAUGGUUCCUUUAUUAGCGGGUUCACAUAUAAAAAUCGAAAGAUCAGAAAUAGAUAAAGUGUUGGUCGUUGGAAGGGAAACGAAAGAUAAUUUUGAUUUAAUGAUCAACAAACUCUUGGAAUCCAUUUACUCUAAGACGCUUUGGGGAAGUCGGUCCUUGUCAGGUGGAUGCAAUAAAAAAUAAAAUAAUGGUGCUUCAAACACAGAGCUA
Molecule: long non-coding RNA, 659 nt
Filed under: Daphnia pulex (common water flea)
Lineage: Eukaryota; Metazoa; Arthropoda; Branchiopoda; Diplostraca; Daphniidae
Description: uncharacterized LOC124207555, transcript variant X2
Source: RNAcentral